RNAcentral lists this ribosomal RNA (196 nucleotides) under uncultured bacterium. Its description in RNAcentral is "partial 16S ribosomal RNA". It matches the Rfam family "Bacterial small subunit ribosomal RNA", at positions 328 to 539 of the family's 1533-position model. The record is from RNAcentral.
ACGCUCGACACCUACGGAGGCAGCAGUGGGGAAUAUUGCACAAUGGGGGAAACCCUGAUGCAGCGACGCCGCGUGGAGGAAGAAGGUCUUCGGAUUGUAAACUCCUGUUGUUGGGGAAAAANGGAUGGUACCCAACAAGGAAGUGACGGCUAACUACGUGUCAGCAGCCGCGUAAUCUGAGGCGGGCUGGCAAGGC